Molecule: transfer RNA, 70 nt
Filed under: Chrysomeloidea sp. 1 KM-2017
Lineage: Eukaryota; Metazoa; Arthropoda; Insecta; Coleoptera
Description: tRNA-Lys
Source: RNAcentral
CACUAAAUGGCUGAAAGUAAGCAAUGGAAUUUUAAACCAUAAAAUAGUAUAUUAACGAAUAUUUUUAGUG